Small nuclear RNA from Ictidomys tridecemlineatus (thirteen-lined ground squirrel), 97 nucleotides. The record is from Ensembl. Lineage: Eukaryota; Metazoa; Chordata; Mammalia; Rodentia; Sciuridae.
CUGCUUGGCAGCAGAUAUUCUAAAAUUGGAACAAUACAGAGAUUAGCAUGGCCCCUGCACAAAGAUGAUGGAAUUCCUUUAUUUGUUGUUGUCGUUU